RNAcentral lists this ribosomal RNA (253 nucleotides) under uncultured bacterium. Its description in RNAcentral is "partial 16S ribosomal RNA". It matches the Rfam family "Bacterial small subunit ribosomal RNA", at positions 524 to 776 of the family's 1533-position model. The record is from RNAcentral.
UACGGGGGGGGCAAGCGUUGUUCGGAAUUACUGGGCGUAAAGGGCUCGUAGGCGGCCAACUAAGUCAGACGUGAAAUCCCUCGGCUUAACCGGGGAACUGCGUCUGAUACUGGAUGGCUUGAAUCCGGGAGAGGGAUGCGGAAUUCCAGGUGUAGCGGUGAAAUGCGUAGAUAUCUGGAGGAACACCGGUGGCGAAGGCGGCAUCCUGGACCGGUAUUGACGCUGAGGUGCGAAAGCGUGGGGAGCAAACAGG